Molecule: ribosomal RNA, 390 nt
Filed under: Dinophyceae sp.
Lineage: Eukaryota; Dinophyceae
Description: partial small subunit ribosomal RNA
Rfam family: Eukaryotic small subunit ribosomal RNA
Source: RNAcentral
AUUCCAGCUCCAAUAGCGUAUAUUAAAGUUGUUGCGGUUAAAAAGCUCGUAGUUGGAUUUCUGCUGAGGACGACUGGUCCGCCCCCUGGGUGAGCAUCUGGUUCGGCCUGGGCAUCUUCUUGGGGAACGUAUCUGCACUUGAUUGUGUGGUGCGGUAUCCAGGACUUUUACUUUGAGGAAAUUAGAGUGUUUCAAGCAGGCCCGCGCCUUGAAUACAUUAGCAUGGAAUAAUAAGAUAGGACCUGAGUUCUAUUUUGUUGGUUUUCGGAAAUCGACUUAAUGAUUAAUAGGGACAGUCGGGGGCAUUUGUAUUCAAACGACAGAGGUGAAAUUCUCAGACCAGCGGAAGACGAACCACUGCGAAAGCAUUUGCCAGGGAUGUUUUCAUCG